This 301-nucleotide ribosomal RNA is filed under the name uncultured bacterium. Its description in RNAcentral is "partial 16S ribosomal RNA". It matches the Rfam family "Bacterial small subunit ribosomal RNA", at positions 509 to 807 of the family's 1533-position model. The record is from RNAcentral.
CAGCAGCCACGGGAAUACGAAGGGGGCUAGCGUUGCUCGGAAUUACUGGGCGUAAAGGGCGCGUAGGCGGACAGUUCAGUCGGGGGUGAAAGCCCGGGGCUCAACCUCGGAAUUGCCUUCGAUACUGGCUGUCUUGAGUAUGAGAGAGGUGUGUGGAACUCCGAGUGUAGAGGUGAAAUUCGUAGAUAUUCGGAAGAACACCAGUGGCGAAGGCGACACACUGGCUCAUUACUGACGCUGAGGCGCGAAAGCGUGGGGAGCAAACAGGAUUAGAUACCCCCGUAGUCCCUGUCUCUUAUAC